Molecule: ribosomal RNA, 262 nt
Filed under: uncultured bacterium
Lineage: Bacteria
Description: partial 16S ribosomal RNA
Rfam family: Bacterial small subunit ribosomal RNA
Source: RNAcentral
UGGCCGACGGGGGGCAGCAGUGGGGAAUAUUGGGCAAUGGGCGCAAGCCUGACCCAGCAACGCCGCGUGAAGGAAGAAGGCCCUCGGGUUGUAAACUUCUUUUAACAGGGACGAAGAAAGUGACGGUACCUGUUGAAUAAGCCACGGCUAACUACGUGCCAGCAGCCGCGGUAAUACGUAGGUGGCAAGCGUUAUCCGGAUUUACUGGGUGUAAAGGGCGUGUAGGCGGGAGAGCGAGUCAGACGUGGAAUUUCAGGGCUGA